CCAGAAGGUCGGAUGGCCGCGCGCCGGCAAUGGGGAAACCCGCCGGCGCGAGGAAAGUCCGGGCUCCACGGAAACACGGUGCCGGUUAACGACCGGCGGGGGCAACCCUAGGGAAAGUGCCACAGAAAGCAAACCGCCCGCCAAAGCCUUUGGCGAUGGCAGGUAAGGGUGAAAGGGUGCGGUAAGAGCGCACCGCGCCGGCGGCAACGUCGGCGGCACGGCAAACCCCACCGGGAGCAAGACCGAAUAGGGGCGGCAUCAUGGCGGGUUUCCGCGUCGCCGCCCGGGUGGGUCGCGCGAGGCGUCCGGCGACGGGCGUCCCAGAUGAAUGGCCAUCCAUCGCCGGCCACAGGCUUCGGCCCAGGUCGACGAGGACAGAACCCGGCUUACAGACCUUCUGGCCCA
This 405-nucleotide RNase P RNA is filed under the name Alphaproteobacteria bacterium. RNAcentral describes it as "RNase P RNA component class A". It matches the Rfam family "Bacterial RNase P class A". From Rfam's summary of the family: Ribonuclease P (RNase P) is a ubiquitous endoribonuclease, found in archaea, bacteria and eukarya as well as chloroplasts and mitochondria. Its best characterised activity is the generation of mature 5'-ends of tRNAs by cleaving the 5'-leader elements of precursor-tRNAs. Cellular RNase Ps are ribonucleoproteins. Lineage: Bacteria; Pseudomonadati; Pseudomonadota; Alphaproteobacteria. The record is from RNAcentral.